This 468-nucleotide ribosomal RNA is filed under the name uncultured bacterium. RNAcentral describes it as "partial 16S ribosomal RNA". It matches the Rfam family "Bacterial small subunit ribosomal RNA", at positions 28 to 507 of the family's 1533-position model. The record is from RNAcentral.
GACGAACGCUGGCGGCGUGCUUAACACAUGCAAGUCGAACGGAAAGGCCCUGCUUUUGUGGGGUGCUCGAGUGGCGAACGGGUGAGUAACACGUGAGUAACCUGCCCUUGACUUUGGGAUAACUUCAGGAAACUGGGGCUAAUACCGGAUAGGAGCUCCUGCUGCAUGGGGGGGGUUGGAAAGUUUCGGCGGUGGGGGAUGGACUCGCGGCUUAUCAGCUUGUUGGUGGGGUAGUGGCUUACCAAGGCUUUGACGGGUAGCCGGCCUGAGAGGGUGACCGGCCACAUUGGGACUGAGAUACGGCCCAGUCUCCUACGGGAGGCAGCAGUGGGGAAUAUUGCACAAUGGGCGGAAGCCUGAUGCAGCAACGCCGCGUGCGGGAUGACGGCCUUCGGGUUGUAAACCGCUUUCGCCUGUGACGAAGCGUGAGUGACGGUAAUGGGUAAAGAAGCACCGGCUAACUACGUG